RNAcentral lists this long non-coding RNA (215 nucleotides) under Hordeum vulgare. RNAcentral's name for it is "long non-coding RNA (HVUL_LNC005450)". The record is from RNAcentral. Lineage: Eukaryota; Viridiplantae; Streptophyta; Magnoliopsida; Poales; Poaceae.
GAGAAAGCAGCGCAGAAGAAAGAGUGGGAAGAGUACUGUGUGGAGCAGAGGGCUUUUCUUGAUGAGAUGAAAAGGAAAACCAAGAAGAGAAAUUUCAGCUCGAGGAGGUUUACAGACAGCGGGAUCAUGCCCGUGAAGCUGAGAGGGAGAGAGAGAAAUGACUCGUGCGGCCAAGGCAGCAGAAGAAGCCGGUGAUGAAAAAGGAAAAUAUCCAC